RNAcentral lists this ribosomal RNA (253 nucleotides) under uncultured bacterium. RNAcentral describes it as "partial 16S ribosomal RNA". It matches the Rfam family "Bacterial small subunit ribosomal RNA", at positions 524 to 776 of the family's 1533-position model. The record is from RNAcentral.
UACGAAGGGGGCUAGCGUUGCUCGGAAUCACUGGGCGUAAAGGGUGCGUAGGCGGGUCUUUAAGUCAGGGGUGAAAUCCUGGAGCUCAACUCCAGAACUGCCUUUGAUACUGGGGAUCUCGAGUCCGGAAGAGGUUGGUGGAACUGCGAGUGUAGAGGUGAAAUUCGUAGAUAUUAGGAAGAACACCGGUGGCGAAGGCGGCCCACUGGAUCGGUACUGACGCUGAGGUGCGAAAGCGUGGGGAGCAAACAGG